AAUGGCCGCAAGGCUGAACCAGUAACUUGGAAGAAUGUAACUGUAUUUGUAUAAAUACAAUAGCGAUUAAUUCGCAUAAAAUUCUAAAUAGAUUGUAUAUAAUGACAUAAUCUAUUUAUAAGUCUUGACCAAACUACGUGCCAGCAGUCGCGGUAAUACGUAGAAGGCUAGUGUUAGUUAUCUUUAUUGGGUUUAAAGGGUAUGUAGACGGUAAAUUAAACUUUAAAAAAGUACUUUUUUACUAGAGUUAUAUGUGAGAAGGAAGAAUUCUUGGAGUAGAGAUAGAAUUUGUUGAUACCAAGAGGACUGUCAACGGCGAAGGCGUCCUUCUAUGUAA
RNAcentral lists this ribosomal RNA (337 nucleotides) under Eurotiomycetes DC568. RNAcentral's name for it is "SSU rRNA". It matches the Rfam family "Bacterial small subunit ribosomal RNA", at positions 370 to 736 of the family's 1533-position model. Lineage: Eukaryota; Fungi; Ascomycota; Eurotiomycetes. The record is from RNAcentral.